GAGAGAGAGAGGGUAAAGAGACUGGGGCAGAUAAAAAAAGGGAUAGAUGGGAAAACAGCAGACCAGGGCUGUAUUUAUUGGGGGUGUGAGUGGCGCGCUGUAGGCUGUGGGAUGGUAGGCAGAGUGUAAGGUGUUGCUGUUAGGUGUGGUGGGGUUUCCAGAAAUGGAAGAGCAUGCAUAGAGAAAAAAAAAAAAAAGAGGGAGAGAUGGAAGGAUUGGUCAUGCGCAAGGGCAUCGGUAAUUAUCGGUGAGGUCUUAGUGACUGCAAAUGAAAUUACCAUUUAAGAGAGAGGGAGAAAGAGACAUCCCCUUUGCCAUAGGAGAGGGCUUAAGUGAGGCGGCUAGGGUUUCAGCUAUUGAUUUUUAAACUGCUACAUCAGAGAGUGUAAUGCUUUCAUAAUUUCAAAUAAACUGUCUGGUUACGAAGUACUAAUGAGAGAAAGAGUGAGAGCAGACCAAACUAAAUAAGUGAGCGAUGGGGGUUGAAUUUUAAGUGUUGACGUGCAUUCGGGGAGUUUAAGAUAAUUGCACUGGUCGGACCAAAUGAUCAAUGUGUCAACGAUCCUGCAGCAACUGGUAGUUUUACUUUUUCUUUUUGAUAACCAGUGCGAUAAUUAGCGAUGGCGUUUUUCUUUGUUUGUUUCACCGGGAUUGAAACGGGGGCCAUGAAACUUUUUCCUUUACAAUCCAAAAAACCCUCCAAAAUAUUGUGAAUUCAUCCUAAAUAUGUAGUGCGUCGUGAUUUUAUUUCCCACAAACACCGUCAUUCAGCUGGAAAAAUAUAUUCCUCUGAAAAUAUCCAAUUUUCCAGCCCACUUUAAAAAAAAAAGGGGGCGAGGUGUUCACUCUUUCUCACGGACAUAACUCACAAAUUCCGAAGAAAUUUAAAAUGUGCGAUGAGUGAAAUUAUAUUUUUGUCCAAAGGUAAUGACAGUUUUUCUACUGAUAGAAUACAGCAAGAUAAUAAAGAUGAGGGAUGGAGACAGGAAGAUGGAUUUUUGGAUGACACUCAUGAACCCAAAUCUCUCUCUCUCUCUCUCUCUCUCUCUCUCUCUCUACUUCUCACCACAGACCGCAGGCCGUUGGAGGCAGCUUAGAAAUCUCUUACAUCUGGAAGAGCCAUAAUUCACGGGAUUUGGCCCAACAGCCGUGACAGGCAUUGGGGCGGCCAGCAGCAACUGUCUCCCGUGUUAGCGGCGAGUGUGUGAGAGGGAGACGGCGAGUGAGAGACAAAGAGUGACAAAUACACAGCGUGCGUCCACUUGGACCUGCAUGUGUGCGCAGUAACCGGGUAUGUUACGAAAGUACGGCACCGCGCGUUAAGCUACUUCCUGCAAGACCGGUAGUCCACGACACUUAUUACAUUAUUUCACAGCUGUUGUUACUUUGUGGAUCAACACAUAGCGUGUCGCAUUACUAUAUUUGAUGUGAUGUCAGUCAGCAUCAUCGACACACACGUAACAAUGCAUCAAUCAUUUUGAUCCAAUAACAAAAAUCUAACAAUAGUGUGUAACAACAUUAGACUUGAAAAGGGGACCAUUUGGCAUCGUUUGUAUUUUUUAUACCUUUGUUUUAUUUUUCCUUAUUCAACAUACUGCAUAUUUUACUUGAGCAAAAGUUCUAGACAUUUCUUCUACCAGAUGUCGUACAAACUCUCACUAAAUUGUGCAAUCCGUGAGAAGAAAAAAGAAAAGGUUUUUCUGAGACGUGUAAUAAAAAAAAAAAGAAAUCCACAAUGUUGUCCAUGUAUCCGGCAAUGUGCACAAACGAUUAUACACUUUCGCACACACGUAUGCACACACACACACUCAUCCGAAAGACAUGCGGCAGAAACAAAGCAGCGGCGCCCGUGUGUUUCAUGGCGUGCCAGAGGCUGCCUGCGUCGGCCCUAAAUAUUACACACAGACAGUAGCUAUCACUUCCAAGCCUGAAAUCCCACAUUCCACAUUCCUGAUUCCAGCGGCUCGCCUGCUAAGCUGGGCACCACAUGAAGAGCCAUUGUUAGAGAGAGACGGGUCAUGUGUCUCUCUCGCUCUGUGUCUGUCUGUCUGUCUGUCUGUCUGUCCCGGCCCUCCUCCUCCUCCUCCUCCUCUCGCUCGCUGUCAUAUAGUCUCCGUCUGUGACUCUCUGGCUGCGUCUGUCUAUCCGUUCCUCCCUCUGUCGUUUUAUCGCUCUUAUUCCUUCUGUCCCUCACUCCGCUUUGUUUAGUUCAUUCCGUGCCCUUCUCAGCCUCCCGUUUCCCACUUACUUUUCUUUCUGCUGCCCCCCCCCUCUUCUCUGUCUCUCCUUCCCUCUCUUUCAGUCUCCAGAUAUUCAUGUAGAGAUUUUCUCACAUGUUAGAUAUAGAUUUACGACCCCAGCCAGAUCCCUGUAGCCACUAAAUUUGAUACCAUGCACUAAGCCGCAUUGUCUUUUAUGUGUGCUUGGGCUCGUCUGUUUGUGUGCAACUGUGGGCUGCUAUGUAUGUGUGUGUCUGUGUGUUCAUGCAUUACAAGGUGGAGGCGGUUGACUUUUAAAGGGUUAGCUUGGCUGUGGUGGGCACAGAGGUAGAAUUUACAGUUUAUUGAAGCACGGAAGGCAGGUUUGCAGAUGCGUGUUCACGUGUUUGAGAGAGAGAGAGAGAGCCUGUGGGUGCCAGGUGACCAGGCUAACCUCUUGGCUGGUGUUUUGGAUUUAGGAUAGGACUUUGGAUAGCGGUGAGAAAUAAAAGGAAAAGGAAUGCUUUUUCAAUUACAGAUCAGAACAAAGGCAAGAGCGAAAGGAAAGAUGAGUUAUUGGCUUCUCACAUAUCGCGGUUUUUUUUCAGACAGGCGCAUUCUUACAAUCUGAUCUUGAUUUUGACUUUCAGAACAUUUUGUACUUGAGUCCAUCAUUCUGUUCGGCUGUUAUAAUUAUUCAUGUCGUCUGUCAUGAAGAUUUGUAUGAAGCAGAAGAAGUGUGAGAAGCAUGAAAAAUGCAUGCCGCAUGUUUUCGGUGCAACUUGUCUAACGACGUGAGCUCCUCGCGCAUUUUGACAUCACACUAUUGAGCUGUAUCUGCGAGCGCUAAAAUGCACACAGAAGUGGGUGCAAAAAUAGAACAUGGAAAGGAUGGAGUGUGAAGACAAAGCAGACAAACACCUGUGGAAGACCGUCGCCGCGCAUGUUACUAAUUCUGACAGUAGUCAGUUCAAAGGCACUCGUCCUCUGCCAUGCAUAUUUUAUUGGCUGGAGGUGGUUUUUGUUGUGUAUUCAUAUCGGUUUUUCGUUUCUUCAACAUUCCACAAGUUGUCAAGAGUGGGGGGGAGUUUUUUUUUGUUGAAAAACGCAUCGUGGAGUACUGAGGAUUGUAUUAUUGUUGUUUGUCUGUGUGAUGUGAGAUGCUAUUCGCCUUUUGAUAUUUCGUAAGUGAAAUGAGAGCUGAAGGUGUGUUUGUUGCAGAUGCUUGAGUGUGCAUGUACUGUUGUUACCUCAAACAGUUUAUCCGUCAGUCAGACAGUAUGUGCACAUUUCCUAGCGCUCGUGCAUGUGUUUGCAUGCAGGUAUUGCAUCCAAGUGUGCGCGUGUGUGUGUGUGUGUCCGCAUCCACACAUCUAAAAGCCAUAUCUGGCUUCAGAUCAAAUGGUGUAUGAAGAAGGGGAAUGACAGACAGAGAAAGUGAUGGCUCUUUAAUGUUGCCUAUCCACUCCCGAACCCAAAUAUAAGACCAACACACGGAAUAGACGUGUUUUAAGCAAAAAGGAGUGACAUGAAACACUUAUGUAGAAAAGCUCUGAACAUGACGUCGGCUUUGAGGUGGAGGAGAAAAUGUCUUGCCAAACACAAAGAAAAAGGGUAAAUUGGAUGGAAGGAAGAGAGAAAAGGCAGGGGCACAAAAUGAAACAGUGACAUGCACUUUAUUCUUUGUUUGUGCGCGUCAAGGUACAGCGAUACUUUGUUUUUAGCUGAAUGGCGAAUGUUUUAUCCAGCUCACCUUUUUUUCUUUCUUUCUAAAGCGUCUAAACCUUCACUAUCAUCACUGUCUUGUUGUGUAAUGAAUGUGUUAUUAUGAUGACUGCAUUCAAAUCAAUACACUUUUGUUGAUUCCUUUUUUUUCACCAAAAUGACUGUAUUAUUGUUACGUAAUAGAUUCCUAAUUGUAUGCUUGACUGGAAUUACCUUGUUGGAAGAAUAAAAACAAACUUAAAUUUU
Molecule: long non-coding RNA, 4169 nt
Organism: Gasterosteus aculeatus aculeatus (three-spined stickleback)
Lineage: Eukaryota; Metazoa; Chordata; Actinopteri; Perciformes; Gasterosteidae
Source: Ensembl